This 330-nucleotide unclassified non-coding RNA is filed under the name soil metagenome. RNAcentral describes it as "partial contains 5.8S ribosomal RNA, internal transcribed spacer 2, and large subunit ribosomal RNA". The stretch from base 1 to 120 matches the Rfam family "5.8S ribosomal RNA", at positions 35 to 154 of the family's 154-position model. The record is from RNAcentral.
GAUGAAGAACGCAGCGAAAUGCGAUAAGUAAUGUGAAUUGCAGAAUUCAGUGAAUCAUCGAAUCUUUGAACGCACAUUGCGCCCCCUGGUAUUCCGGGGGGCAUGCCUGUUCGAGCGUCAUUUCGCCACUCAAGCCUCGCUUGGUAUUGGGCAACGCGGUCCGCCGCGUGCCUCAAAUCGUCCGGCUGGGUCUUCUGUCCCUAAGCGUUGUGGAAACUAUUCGCUAAAGGGUGUUCGGGAGGCUACGCCGUAAAACAACCCCAUUUCUAAGGUUGACCUCGGAUCAGGUAGGGAUACCCGCUGAACUUAAGCAUAUCAAUAAGCGGAGGA